AAAAAAAACCCGGGGUAAAUUGGGGCUUCUAACCCUGCUUUGGAGGUUCGAGUCCUCUUUUUUUUA
Molecule: transfer RNA, 66 nt
Filed under: Marenzelleria neglecta
Lineage: Eukaryota; Metazoa; Annelida; Polychaeta; Spionida; Spionidae
Description: tRNA-Ser
Source: RNAcentral